UCAGCUAUGCGGAUGAGAUCGCCAUUUCGCUAAACCAGCACAGUGUCCUUGAGCUCAUAGUAAUCGGCGUUUCCGUUUAUCCGUUGCCCAAACUCUCGGAAUCCGAUCUUAUCACUCAUGUUUGAAUGACUACAGAAACAGUCGAAAGACAAGUCGGGGCACUCAAAUGGAUCAUGGUGAUAUCUGAUUGUUCGGUUAACUUCUGAAGCGGGUCGCGAAGGAUCUUUACUGAAGGUGGAUAUGUUGCCGUCUCAAAUGAAAUCGACUGUUAUUCAAGUGGCUUCCGAUCAUUAACGGAUACAAUGUUCGAUUGCAGCAAAAUGCUGUCUUUUACAUCACCGUAGCAUUUGGUAACUUAAUGUACAGAAACUACCGAAGAUGAAUUCCGCUUCAUCGAAAAGUUUACUGUCUGUUCAUUAACUGUAUAUCUAUAAUGCUUUGAUGUUCUAAUAACAAAUAUGUUCAACCUAAA
Molecule: long non-coding RNA, 472 nt
Organism: Daphnia carinata
Lineage: Eukaryota; Metazoa; Arthropoda; Branchiopoda; Diplostraca; Daphniidae
Exons: 3
Source: RefSeq, a predicted model, not a curated record